CCUAUAAGACUGGGAUAACUUCGGGAAACCGGAGCUAAUACCGGAUAACAUUUAGAACCGCAUGGUUCUAAAGUGAAAGAUGGUUUUGCUAUCACUUAUAGAUGGACCCGCGCCGUAUUAGCUAGUUGGUAAGGUAACGGCUUACCAAGGCGACGAUACGUAGCCGACCUGAGAGGGUGAUCGGCCACACUGGAACUGAGACACGGUCCAGACUCCUACGGGAGGCAGCAGUAGGGAAUCUUCCGCAAUGGGCGAAAGCCUGACGGAGCAACGCCGCGUGAGUGAUGAAGGGUUUCGGCUCGUAAAACUCUGUUAUUAGGGAAGAACAAAUGUGUAAGUAACUGUGCACAUCUUGACGGUACCUAAUCAGAAAGCCACGGCUAACUACGUGCCAGCAGCCGCGGUAAUACGUAGGUGGCAAGCGUUAUCCGGAAUUAUUGGGCGUAAAGCGCGCGUAGGCGGUUUCUUAAGUCUGAUGUGAAAGCCCACGGCUCAACCGUGGAGGGUCAUUGGAAACUGGGAAACUUGAGUGCAGAAGAGGAAAGUGGAAUUCCAUGUGUAGCGGUGAAAUGCGCAGAGAUAUGGAGGAACACCAGUGGCGAAGGCGACUUUCUGGUCUGUAACUGACGCUGAUGUGCGAAAGCGUGGGGAUCAAACAGGAUUAGAUACCCUGGUAGUCCACGCCGUAAACGAUGAGUGCUAAGUGUUAGGGGGUUUCCGCCCCUUAGUGCUGCAGC
This 737-nucleotide ribosomal RNA is filed under the name uncultured Staphylococcus sp. RNAcentral's name for it is "bacterial SSU rRNA". It matches the Rfam family "Bacterial small subunit ribosomal RNA", at positions 129 to 852 of the family's 1533-position model. Lineage: Bacteria; Bacillati; Bacillota; Bacilli; Caryophanales; Staphylococcaceae. The record is from RNAcentral.